GAACGCUGGCGGCGUGCCUAAUACAUGCAAGUCGAGCGAACAGAUAAGGAGCUUGCUCCUUUGACGUUAGCGGCGGACGGGUGAGUAACACGUGGAUAACCUACCUAUAAGACUGGGAUAACUUCGGGAAACCGGAGCUAAUACCGGAUAAGAUUUUGAACCGCAUGGUUCAAUAGUGAAAGACGGCCUUGCUGUCACUUAUAGAUGGAUCCGCGCCGUAUUAGCUAGUUGGUAAGGUAACGGCUUACCAAGGCAACGAUACGUAGCCGACCUGAGAGGGUGAUCGGCCACACUGGAACUGAGACACGGUCCAGACUCCUACGGGAGGCAGCAGUAGGGAAUCUUCCGCAAUGGGCGAAAGCCUGACGGAGCAACGCCGCGUGAGUGAUGAAGGUCUUCGGAUCGUAAAACUCUGUUAUCAGGGAAGAACAAACGUGUAAGUAACUGUGCACGUCUUGACGGUACCUGAUCAGAAAGCCACGGCUAACUACGUGCCAGCAGCCGCGGUAAUACGUAGGUGGCAAGCGUUAUCCGGAAUUAUUGGGCGUAAAGCGCGCGUAGGCGGUUUUUUAAGUCUGAUGUGAAAGCCCACGGCUCAACCGUGGAGGGUCAUUGGAAACUGGAAAACUUGAGUGCAGAAGAGGAAAGUGGAAUUCCAUGUGUAGCGGUGAAAUGCGCAGAGAUAUGGAGGAACACCAGUGGCGAAGGCGACUUCUGGUCUGUAAC
This 726-nucleotide ribosomal RNA is filed under the name Staphylococcus pasteuri. RNAcentral describes it as "bacterial SSU rRNA". It matches the Rfam family "Bacterial small subunit ribosomal RNA", at positions 31 to 740 of the family's 1533-position model. Lineage: Bacteria; Bacillati; Bacillota; Bacilli; Caryophanales; Staphylococcaceae. The record is from RNAcentral.